CCUACGGGAUGCAGCAGUGGGGAAUAUUGCACAAUGGGCGCAAGCCUGAUGCAGCCAUGCCGCGUGUAUGAAGAAGGCCUUAGGGUUGUAAAGUACUUUCAGUUGGGAGGAAGGCGUUGAUGCUAAUAUCAUCAACGAUUGACGUUACCAACAGAAGAAGCACCGGCUAACUCCGUGCCAGCAGCCGCGGUAAUACGGAGGGUGCAAGCGUUAAUCGGAAUUACUGGGCGUAAAGCGCACGCAGGCGGUUGAUUAAGUUAGAUGUGAAAUCCCCGGGCUUAACCUGGGAAUGGCAUCUAAGACUGGUCAGCUAGAGUCUUGUAGAGGGGGGUAGAAUUCCAUGUGUAGCGGUGAAAUGCGUAGAGAUGUGGAGGAAUACCGGUGGCGAAGGCGGCCCCCUGGACAUUAACUGACGCUGAGGAGCGAAAGCGUGGGGAGCAAACAGGAUUAGAUACCCGCGUAGUC
This 465-nucleotide ribosomal RNA is filed under the name uncultured bacterium. RNAcentral's name for it is "bacterial SSU rRNA". It matches the Rfam family "Bacterial small subunit ribosomal RNA", at positions 338 to 795 of the family's 1533-position model. The record is from RNAcentral.